GAACGCUGGCGGCGUGCUUACCACAUGCAAGUCGACCGCUGAAGCUUGGUGCUUGCACUGGGUGGAUGAGUAGCGAACGGGUGAGUAAUACGUGAGUAACCUGCCCUUGACUCUGGGAUAAGCCUGGGAAACUGGGUCUAAUACUGGAUACGACAUGUCACCGCAUGGUGGUGUGUGGAAAGGGUUUUACUGGUUUUGGAUGGGCUCACGGCCUAUCAGCUUGUUGGUGGGGUAAUGGCUCACCAAGGCGACGACGGGUAGCCGGCCUGAGAGGGUGACCGGCCACACUGGGACUGAGACACGGCCCAGACUCCUACGGGAGGCAGCAGUGGGGAAUAUUGCACAAUGGGCGGAAGCCUGAUGCAGCGACGCCGCGUGAGGGAUGACGGCCUUCGGGUUGUAAACCUCUUUCAGCACGGAAGAAGCGAAAGUGACGGUACGUGCAGAAGAAGCGCCGGCUAACUACGUG
RNAcentral lists this ribosomal RNA (469 nucleotides) under uncultured bacterium. RNAcentral describes it as "partial 16S ribosomal RNA". It matches the Rfam family "Bacterial small subunit ribosomal RNA", at positions 31 to 507 of the family's 1533-position model. The record is from RNAcentral.